This 300-nucleotide ribosomal RNA is filed under the name uncultured bacterium. RNAcentral's name for it is "bacterial SSU rRNA". The stretch from base 52 to 300 matches the Rfam family "Bacterial small subunit ribosomal RNA", at positions 547 to 795 of the family's 1533-position model. The record is from RNAcentral.
GUACUGGAGGGGCAUGAGGCGCUGAAAUACGGGAGGGGGAACGCGUGGUUCGGAAGUACGGGGCGUAAAGGGCGCGGAGGCGGGCGACUAAGGCAGACGUGAAAUCCAUCGGAGUAACCGGUGAACGACGUCUGAGACUAGAUGGCUUGAGGUUGGGAGAGGGAUGCGGAAUACCAGGUGUAGCGGUGAAAUGCGUAGAGAUCUGGAGGAACACCGGUGGCGAAGGCGGCAUCCUGGACCAAUUCUGACGCUGAGGAGCGAAAGCCAGGGGAGCAAACGGGAUUAGAUACCCUAGUAGUC